UAAUAACCCUUUUACACACAUGUCGCAGAAAGCACGAUGAGGGGAUCCCAAGGGUUAGUCCGUUAGAGAAACUGUUUCUUUGUCUAAAUCACAGAAAGAGUUAGGGCUGGUUAAAACGGUGCCAAGCGGCCGGGGUAAUACCUGCGGCUCGGGUGGGGAUCGCUUUUAUUGGGCCUAAAACGCCCGUAGCCGUUUUGUUAAUGGCUUGGGUAAAUUGUGUGGCUUACCCAUACAAAUCCCGGGUGGAUGGCCGGAUUAGAGACGGGGGGAGGUUAGAGGAACUCCUAGGGUAAAGGUGAAAUUUUGUAAUCUUGGGGGGACCACAAGGGGCGAAGCGUCUUAACCGGAACGGUCUUGAGGGUGAGGGACGAAGCCCUGGGGCGCGAACCGGUUAGAAUACCCGGGUAGCCCAGGGGGUAAACCUUCCUUCUUUGAUGUUAGGUUGACUUCGAGUCUACCUAGUGUCGGAAAAAAAGUUGUUAAGCAAGCUGCUUGGAAAG
This 500-nucleotide ribosomal RNA is filed under the name uncultured archaeon. RNAcentral's name for it is "bacterial SSU rRNA". It matches the Rfam family "Archaeal small subunit ribosomal RNA", at positions 340 to 835 of the family's 1478-position model. The record is from RNAcentral.